This is a long non-coding RNA of Helianthus annuus (common sunflower), 2108 nucleotides long. RefSeq lists it as uncharacterized. The record is from RefSeq and is a predicted model, not a curated record. The transcript has 11 exons. Lineage: Eukaryota; Viridiplantae; Streptophyta; Magnoliopsida; Asterales; Asteraceae.
UCCCACCUACGUGUAACUCCCCCUUUUAUUCAUCCCACUCUCUUACUGCUGAGCUGCUCAUUUAUCACACCGGAGAGAGAGAGCGCAACGGCCGACGGAGGGAUGUGAGAGAGAUGUUGGCGGUUGCGGUGCCCGUGGCGGAGACGCGACGGCUGCCAUCGUGGCUUCUUCGACAAGCGCUUUGAUUUUGUGGCCUUCUACGACUCUCUUUAUGCGGCCACGUUUCCGAUUACUUUUUUGGCCACCUUCUUUCAUAAAGAUCGGUGACCUAGGGUUCUGUCGGGUGCACCUGAUAACCAUACGAUCUUGCAUGUACCAAAAUCGAGUUGAUUGGUGUCAUCUGAGCCACCGAGGACUGUUAAGUGAGACAAAGAUCUCUUCCAUGUGAUGCAUCUGAAUGGGUGGCUGUUCUUCUUGCCGAUCUUAUGCUUUGUUUUCAGGGCUUUAUUGAAGGUGUUGAUUUCUUGAUUACUGGCUAUUUGGAUGACGCAAGCCAUGUACCUGAUUGACUAUAUAUUAUCAGGUAAGUGUAUUACAGGUUUUAGCUUAGAUUUGGAAGACGGAAGCAUAUCAAGAUUCAGUUCUUCAACUGCUUAUGCCACAAAGAUUGUGAAGAUAGCAAGGUUCCUGGCUUGAAAAAAUUGAAUUUAGUGAGGGGAAUCUAAGAUGACCUCAUCGGUUGUUAUCAAGUUGGUUCUUACUUCGCUUUUUGCCACGAUUUUGGUUGCAGUUGCGGUGCUACCAUAGCUGUGGAACCUAGGGUUUGAGCUAGCCCGAAAAGAAAGUAGGGAGAAGACCCCUACAUCUGUCACAACUCACAACAUCACAAGGUAAGUUCUUCGGUAACCUUCCUGUCUUCUCCGAGUUCGGUUGUUGAUUUAUGUUUAGUUUUGAAUACGGAUAAUUGAAUUGCAUCGUUGAAAGUCUGAUAAGGGGUGCUACAUUGUCGAUUUGAAUUGCCAUCGUUGGAAGUCUGAAAAGUAUCUUUAUCGCGUGUUAAUUUGAUUUCAAGUUUUGUGCACAUUGAGUUUAGUCAAUUUUGUAUGGAGAAACUUUCAGUUUAGUCGAAAUGGAGGCUAUGUGCAUCGUUGUGUUGUAAUGUACUACCCUGCAGCUCAUUUAUAUCAAAUCGUGACUCUUACAUCUUGAAUAUGUGUGUUGUAUGCUUGCUAAGCAGGCAACUAAUCGGGAUUCCUUUUGCUUAAAGAAUUCUGUAAAUUGACUUUCUUUAGGUCAACUGCAUGCCAAUUUUGACGGAGGUCGGAGGGUUGAGAGAGAGUUAUGAUCCAAUAUAUUUCCUUGGAUUUUGUUUUUCAUAGCUUUUGGUAACAUACCUGUUAAAUUAGACAUCUAUUUAGGGACUGUAAGCAUGAUAAGUUCUAAACAUGGUGAUUACCAUUGUAGUUUCGAAUACUUAAGAACCAAACCUAAAACGAACUGUGAAUCAAAGCAACUAUUCGUGUAAUUUAAGCUUCUUUUGUUCGUUUUAUUUUUAUUAUUAUUUUCUAUGCAAUGCAAGGCUGAACCACUAGCUUCUUUUCUCGAAUGGGAAUUCGUUAACACCCACACAAAACGGCUCGACUGGAACUCUAGGAUGAAUAUAAUAGCAGUUGGUGCAGCAAGAGGGUUAGAGUAUUUACAUGACAAUUGAACCCAUUGGUUAUAUAUCGGGAUAUGAAGGGUCCAAAUAUUUUGCUAGGUGAGGAUUAUAAUGUAAAAUUAUCGGACUUUGGCUUGGCAAAAGUGGGCGCGCUUGGAGUUGUUUCGACCCGAGUGAUGGCCAUUUAUGGGUAUUGUUGCAAUUAAGGGACAACUGACUGAAGGUUAGCCCUUACCUUGGAAGGAAUUUGGCCUGGCUCACAACAAAAGCAUUGAAACUGGCCCCAACCUGUAACUUGGUGAGCAAUAGAGCUGCAGAAUAUUGAUUAUCACAACACGUCAUCAACAUCUUACACUGGACCAAAGUGUAAAAUGCAGGGACCAAAGUGUUUUAAUGCAGGGACCAAAGUGUAAAAUGCAGGGACCAAAGUGGAAAAUGCAGAACAUUUAAACCCUUUCUCGCGCCGCGAAAUUCUUAACGCCAUUUGUUUUUUUUUUGAUCAUGGCGC